AGUCGAACGAGAAAGUGGAGCAAUCCAUGAGUACAGUGGCGUACGGGUGAGUAACACGUGGGUAAUCUACCUCUUAGUGUGGAAUAACCCUGGGAAACCGGGGCUAAUACCGCAUAAGCUCGAGAGAGGAAAGCAGCAAUGCGCUGAGAGAGGAGCCCGCGGCCGAUUAGCUAGUUGGCAGGGUAAAAGCCUACCAAGGCAAAGAUCGGUAGCCGGCCUGAGAGGGCACACGGCCACACUGGCACUGAAACACGGGCCAGACUCCUACGGGAGGCAGCAGUGGGGAAUCUUGCACAAUGGGGGCAACCCUGAUGCAGCGACGCCGCGUGAGCGAUGAAGCCCUUCGGGGUGUAAAGCUCUUUCGGCAGGGAAGAUUAUGACGGUACCUGCAGAAGCAGCUGCGGCUAACUACGUGCCAGCAGCCGCGGUAAUACGUAGGCAGCAAGCGUUGUUCGGAGUUACUGGGCGUAAAGGGUGUGUAGGCGGUUCUCUAAGUUUGGUGUGAAAUCUCCCGGCUCAACUGGGAGGGUGCGCCGAAUACUGAAGGACUAGAGUACGGGAGAGGAGAGUGGAAUUCCUGGUGUAGCGGUGAAAUGCGUAGAUAUCAGGAGGAACACCGGUGGUGUAGACGGCUCUCUGGACCGUAACUGACGCUGAGACACGAAAGCGUGGGUAGCAAACAGGAUUAGAUACCCUGGUAGUC
RNAcentral lists this ribosomal RNA (703 nucleotides) under uncultured Acidobacteriota bacterium. Its description in RNAcentral is "bacterial SSU rRNA". It matches the Rfam family "Bacterial small subunit ribosomal RNA", at positions 60 to 795 of the family's 1533-position model. Lineage: Bacteria; Pseudomonadati; Acidobacteriota. The record is from RNAcentral.